This 253-nucleotide ribosomal RNA is filed under the name uncultured bacterium. RNAcentral's name for it is "partial 16S ribosomal RNA". It matches the Rfam family "Bacterial small subunit ribosomal RNA", at positions 524 to 776 of the family's 1533-position model. The record is from RNAcentral.
AACGUAGGACGCAAGCGUUAUCCGGAGUUACUGGGCGUAAAGCGCGGGCAGGCGGCUCGAAACGUCUGAUGUGAAAUCUCCUCGCUCAACGGGGAGAGGCCAUUGGAAACGGUCGGGCUGGAGGGCAGUAGAGGCAGGCGGAAUUCCGGGUGGAGUGGUGAAAUGCGUAGAGAUCCGGAGGAACACCAGAGGCGAAGGCGGCCUGCUGGGCUGUACCUGACGCUGAACCGCGAAAGCCAGGGGAGCGAACGGG